Molecule: ribosomal RNA, 1952 nt
Filed under: Rheinheimera baltica
Lineage: Bacteria; Pseudomonadati; Pseudomonadota; Gammaproteobacteria; Chromatiales; Chromatiaceae
Description: partial 23S ribosomal RNA
Rfam family: Bacterial large subunit ribosomal RNA
Source: RNAcentral
GGUUAAGUGAAUAAGCGUACACGGUGGAUGCCUUGGCAGUCAGAGGCGAUGAAGGACGUACUAACCUGCGAAAAGCUGUGGGAAGCCGGUAAGAGGCGUUAGACCCGCAGAUGUCCGAAUGGGGAAACCCAGUGAGUUUACUCACUAUCCCAACAUGAAUACAUAGUGUUGGGAGGCAAACCGGGAGAACUGAAACAUCUAAGUACCCCGAGGAAAAGAAAUCAACCGAGAUUCCGUUAGUAGCGGCGAGCGAACGCGGAGUAGCCCUUAAGCUAAAUUAGUGUUAGUGGAAUAUUCUGGAAAGGGUAGCGAUACAGGGUGAUAGCCCCGUACACGACAAUGCUUUUAUAGUGAAAACGAGUAGGACGGGACACGUGGUAUCCUGUUUGAACAUGGGGGGACCAUCCUCCAAGGCUAAAUACUCCUGACUGACCGAUAGUGAACCAGUACCGUGAGGGAAAGGCGAAAAGAACCCCUGUAAGGGGAGUGAAAUAGAACCUGAAACCGUGUACGUACAAGCAGUGGGAGCACCUUCGUGGUGUGACUGCGUACCUUUUGUAUAAUGGGUCAGCGACUUACAUUCUGUAGCGAGGUUAACCGAAUAGGGGAGCCGUAGGGAAACCGAGUCUUAACUGGGCGAAUAGUUGCAGGGUGUAGACCCGAAACCGGGCGAUCUAUCCAUGAGCAGGUUGAAGGUUGGGUAACACUAACUGGAGGACCGAACCCACAUCUGUUGAAAAAGAUGGGGAUGACUUGUGGAUCGGAGUGAAAGGCUAAUCAAGCUCGGAGAUAUCUGGUUCUCCUCGAAAGCUAUUUAGGUAGCGCCUCGAGCGAAUACCAUUGGGGGUAGAGCACUGUUUGGGCUAGGGGGUCAUCCCGACUUACCAACCCCAUGCAAACUCCGAAUACCAAUGAGUACUACUCGGGAGACACACGGCGGGUGCUAACGUCCGUCGUGAAAAGGGAAACAACCCAGACCGCCAGCUAAGGUCCCAAAGUAAUGAUUAAGUGGAAAACGAUGUGGGAAGGCAUAGACAGCUAGGAGGUUGGCUUAGAAGCAGCCACCCUUUAAAGAAAGCGUAAUAGCUCACUAGUCGAGUCGGCCUGCGCGGAAGAUGUAACGGGGCUAAAUCAUUCACCGAAGCUGCGGACUUGUGCUUGCACAAGUGGUAGAGGAGCGUUCUGUAAGCCUGUGAAGGUGACCCGGGAGGGUUGCUGGAGGUAUCAGAAGUGCGAAUGCUGACAUGAGUAACGAUAAGGGGAGUGAAAAACUUCCCCGCCGAAAGACCAAGGGUUCCUAUCCCAUGCUAAUCAGGGUAGGGUGAGUCGACCCCUAAGGCGAGGCUGAAAGGCGUAGUCGAUGGGAAACAGGUUAAUAUUCCUGUACCGACCAAUACUGCGAUGGGGGGACGGAGAAAGCUAGGCAAGCGCGGCGUUGGUAGUCCGCGUGAAAGUACGUAGGCAGAGAGAUUAGGUAAAUCCGGUUUCUUAUAUGCUGAGAUACGAGACGAGUCACUACGGUGACGAAGUUGCUAACGCUAUGCUUCCAGGAAAAGCCUCUAAGCUUCAGGUAUUGGAGAUCGUACCCUAAACCGACACAGGUGGUCAGGUAGAGCAUACCAAGGCGCUUGAGAGAACUCGGCUGAAGGAACUAGGCAAAAUAGUACCGUAACUUCGGGAGAAGGUACGCUCUUUGCUGUGAAGGACUUGCUCCGUAAGCAGCGAAGAGUCGCAGUGACCAGCUGGCUGCAACUGUUUAUUAAAAACACAGCACUCUGCAAACUCGUAAGAGGACGUAUAGGGUGUGACACCUGCCCGGUGCCGGAAGGUUAAUUGAUGGGGUUAGCGCAAGCGAAGCUCUUGAUCGAAGCCCCGGUAAACGGCGGCCGUAACUAUAACGGUCCUAAGGUAGCGAAAUUCCUUGUCGGGUAAGUUCCGACCUGCACGAAUGG